Molecule: ribosomal RNA, 120 nt
Filed under: uncultured bacterium
Lineage: Bacteria
Description: partial 16S ribosomal RNA
Rfam family: Bacterial small subunit ribosomal RNA
Source: RNAcentral
UCGCCCUGGGAGGGGCCCGCGUCCGAUUAGCUAGUUGGUGGGGUAACGGCUCACCAAGGCGACGAUCGGUAGCUGGUCUGAGAGGAUGAUCAGCCACACUGGGACUGAGACACGGCCCAG